This is a long non-coding RNA of Vombatus ursinus (common wombat), 1581 nucleotides long. RefSeq lists it as uncharacterized. NCBI's taxonomy places the organism in Eukaryota, Metazoa, Chordata, Mammalia, Diprotodontia, Vombatidae. The record is from RefSeq and is a predicted model, not a curated record. The transcript is spliced from 10 exons.
CCGGCUCUUUGUCUGCUCGGGGACUUGGAACAAAAGGGGAAACUCUGAUGAACUCUCUCCAUCCUCCUCCUCUCUGACGCCUGGUUAUCUUUCCUCUCACAACUUUGCUGGAGAGACUCUCUCCAGCGCUAGGCACCCAACAAGUUCGGGGGCUUUAGGAACUGGAGUUAGAGAACCAUCUCUUUUAGAAUGGAUAAAAGAGGGGGGAAAAGAAGGUGCCAGAAUGAUGAUGGGCAACAUCUAGGAAGCAAGACAAUGGCUAGAAUACCUUUCUAGCAAGGUACCUUCUCCAGGCUGCAUUGUUUUUGUUGGACAUUUCUGACAAUGGAUAUAGCCAGGCCAAACAAUUACGGAGUGAAAGACGCUAACCUUCGCUUGGGAUUAUCGUUUAAGAAUUGAGUUUUGGAUAUGACAUGACUAUUAUGAAGGAUACUGUUACUGUUGGAAAUACAACUUCUUGAUCACUGGGAAUUCUCUGCCUUAUGGAAGAAGUCCAAGUGUCAAACACUAGAGAGAUAUGCGGUGAUUCAGAGUUGAAAUGGGAAGAAAAUGAUACCUGGAAAGAAAAUAUGGCUUCAGGUAAUGACUAAAUCCCAUUUUACUGGAUGGCCACUGAAGCAUGAUCACAAGACAGUCAGAAUGGUGGAUAAGUGCUCCUCAGGCAUGAAUCAUUGCAGACCAGGAAAAGACAAUGAUUUAGUACUUUGAAGGGCAAGCAUGUAUGUGAUUAAAGAAUAUAAGUGCAGGACUCCAAGAUUUACUUCCUUCCUGCUCUGUCCAGCAGGGAUACCUGAGGCAAAAUCCAUCUACUGAAAGAAACUACUGCAUUGCUCUCUCCAGAAGAAAAUGUAUCUUUGAUAUUAAAAUGUUAUGAAGGAGUACAAAUGAGAGAGGAGAUCUGUCAAAUGGCACUGGCUAUGAUAAAGGAGGAAUGCCACUUUUCCUAGAGAGCAUUUACUUCCAUGAAUGCAAUCUGAAACUGGGUUUCAUUUGCAAGGAUACAAUCUGCCACUUUCAUUUUGUAUCAUCAUCAUCCACCAAAAGGCAAUCCUUUUCCAAGGACAAGAGUAAAAAGAAACAGAAGAAAGGCCUGAAAGGAAUAAAAUGAAUCACAGAACCAUAGUGAAAAUUUACGGAAAAAAAAUUAGUGUCAACAAAGUAAAAGUGGCCUAAUGAAAAGUUAAGAAGCAUUUCUUAGAAGAACUGCAAGGAGUAAGCUGUCACACUGGUAACCAUGUGGAAUGUCUUCCAUCAAGCUAUAUUACCCAUUCCCUUUGAAGUCUGGAGUCCCAUGCCAGCACUUUCAGACAUCAGGGAGCUUUCUUGGAGGUAUCGAGGCCAAGUGUGACUGCCAGGAAGGAGCUGGGAGCAGCCAAAGAGACUGAGCAUGUCAGACUUCUCUCCCAGCCUGCCACACACACUUAAAACCCAAAGGAAAUAAGCAGGGAUCAGUGGGAGGAAGGGAGCCAACCAGCUCUGACCUGCUUUCUUCAUGAAUCCUUGACUUUGAAAUCAAACCUGGUCUUAAUACCCAGCAGGUGUCAUCAGGGUUCUUGGAUCAGUAGCUGAAGGAAAACUGAG